Long non-coding RNA from Amphiprion ocellaris (clown anemonefish), 2223 nucleotides. RefSeq lists it as uncharacterized. NCBI's taxonomy places the organism in Eukaryota, Metazoa, Chordata, Actinopteri, Pomacentridae. The transcript is spliced from 3 exons. The record is from RefSeq and is a predicted model, not a curated record.
AUUCACUGCAGGGCUCUAGGACCCAGAGACGUCAGGAUGGUGGUUCUUGAUAUCAGUCUACCAACUGGAUUCACCCCAGAAAACUCUGACCUGGAGAUGCUGUCCAAUUCAGUGCAUCGUUACAUCAGUAACUUCCAGAUUGUAGACAACCUGAGUGACAGAGGCUCCCUGAUCAUUCACCUGUUCAAAUGUCCCUGAUAGCAGAGCUGGAUGCUUCAGAUCUGUGGUGGUUCUCCCACCAACUGGCCUAAUCUCCAUCUGUGGGAUGCAUCUGCUGCUGACCUUCCUCCUGCCCACUGCUUCCAGCUUCCCAUUUCCAUCAAUCUACUCUGCAUCACCCUCACUAUACUUGAUUUGCUCAUCUACAUAUUUUUGAAUUUACCACCAGCUAUAUAUAUAGUAUAUUUAAUGCCAGAGCCAUACACCAUAGCAGUAAACUAUAAUCAGUUUCCAGCCCAGAGGGAUAUAUGCGCAUAUUUUUUUAAAUACCAUGAAGAAGACUAUAUACAGGAAGAUGAGGUAUCAGUUCUUGCACAUAGAUAUACAACAGUCCUUUAUUACUCCCCAGGUCAGGGGAAAUUUCCAGUGUUAGAGCAGCAAAAAUCUUUCAGAGCAGCACUAACUACAGUUUACUACAGUAAAGAUAAUUAUAAUAACAAUAAUAUAUACAAGAAUGAAAAAUGAAUAAAUACAGUAUUACUACACUAUAAGUGACAUCAGCAUAAAGUGGCUUGUGGAAUACAUUUAAAGUGCAGAAAAUGCCAGCAGUACAAGGAGUUGUGGAUAUUUUCUCAAAACAGGUGAGUCCUGUGAAUAUGACCAACAUAUGAGAUAAAACUACCAGAAACAUGUACAAAAUGACCAAAAUAUGAUUGGUUGAUAAUGUAUCAGUGUUGUUACUGAUUAUUGAUCGGUUGCAGGGACAGAGAUUUGUGUCUGAGUCUCUGCUGUCAUCUAAUCUCUCUCAUGCAAGAUCAUGUCACAGGAGGGGGCGCUACUGGCCUCUUGUGGACACAGGCGGUAACGACAUGACAUUAUUAAUAACUGUAUAGCUGGCAACAUUACAGUUGAGGAGCACUUCCUGUUCAUGUUCAACGUAAAAGCAUCUUUAUUGUACAUUUAAUGUCAAAAGUAUUACUAAGCGAUUUUGGUAGAUUCAGAAGGAUCUCUGAUGUAAACUAAGUUGCAUUUAACGACAGCUAGCUUCUCCACUUGCUCCAAUUACUUUUGUUGUAGUCCGAGUCACGUCCAAACAGGAAAUGAAUUCAUAAUGUAGCUAAUGACAAUCUAUAGCUGCAUCUGUGAUGGCAGCGUUAGCGAGCUAGCAGCUAAUCAGAAGCUAGUGACAAGCUAACUCCAGCGCUACAAGCAGCGUCUCUUUAAAAGGUGCUGAUCACGCUAUCAGGCUGAAACGUGAGACCUGGGACAGGGAAAGGAGCUAGAGCGCUGUGUCUUGCAGAGGAUUUAUUUUAGAACUACGCAUGUUAAGGUAUUAGUCCGUGUCAUAGCGAAUCCUCGUUAGCACUUCCGCUAGCUCGGCUAAUACUUCCGUUCACGACUGCAUUUGUAAAUUAGGUAUAACGUGUUCAUUUUUGAACGUAUAGUGACAACAAACACAAUUUGAGACUGUCGACAAGCUAGUGGUCCUUAAAUAGAUUUUGUUUCAUACUGCAGAUUCUUCUGAGUCUCACAAAACCACGUUUUAGCAUAAUAGCAUUACUAUAGUUUUACGUAUAAUAAACCCCAUGACAAUUGUUAACUUCAGGCCCAAUUUGCUGCAUUACUGUGUUUUCUAAUUGUCUGAAAACAAAUACCUCUGGAUUUUGGACUGUUUUUCAGAACGACCAAACACGCGUUUAGAUAUCAUCUUGGCUUUUCAGAACUUACGUUCACAUUCUUUUUUUUUUUUUUUUUUUUUUGCCAUUUUAGCUGUGCUUCGUUCCUCUUCUGUCAUCCUAGUGCACUGUGUGUUAUCUGUGAUUUUUUUGUUCCUUUUUUUCCCUUUACUGGCAUAUUAAAGGGAAAAAAUACAAAAAUACAAAUGGACGAUUAUUAUUAUUAUUAUUAUUAUUAUUAUUAUUAUUGUUAUUAUUAUUUUUACUAAAAAAAAAAAAAAAAGACUAAACUGAAUUGAAGUGAAAGACACUAUUUCCCCAGUUGAAUUGGCAGUCACCUGUUUGAUAAAUAAAGUGCAACUUCUUCUGUCACACUACAUGAAUUGCA